GUGGGGGAUGGCCGAGCUCUUGGACUCCCCGGGUGUCGACCCGCCUGUAGUCAGGGCCGGGGUCGCGGGGCCUUUGUGCCCAGCUGGCAGCUUGCUCGGGGUGACCGGCCUGUGAGUGGGGCCUAGGUCCGAGUGGCCCCGACGCUGAGAAGAGGAGCCUCCCGCGGGCCCAGGGCUGCCCUGUGACUCGGGGACUGGCUGGGGUGCCGAGGGCUGUGCUGUCCAGCCGGUGGCGCGAGCCGCCUGUAGGCAGGGGUGAAGUCUCUUUGGCCACCGCUGGUCAUGGCCAGCUACGGGUGCCCAGAGUGCCAGCCUCCCAGCCACGCUUCAGCACCGCCCUCGGGCAUCCCGCAGCCCCAGCUGCGGUGCAGGCGGCCGGACACCUGCUGUCCCGAAGACGGGCCAGUCGAGUCGGCAGCAGUUGCUGGUUCACAACACCAGGAAUUGUACCCCCAGGCCUCAAGUCUCCUGCUCAACCCUGCAGUGGCAGGCACCAGGUGCCGCACCUGCUCCAGAUGCGGAAGCAAGUGGGGAAGAAGAUCCUGCCCUGCAAUACGGAUAGCUCUGAUUACUCUCAGCUCCAGAGUCUCGAAGAACAGCUCCCUUCUGGGUCUUUAGAAAGCUUCUGCCUGCACACUUCUGGCAGGGAGAACAGAGAUUUCCCCGUGGCAUACACUUUGCAAAUUUCAAACCCACCUCUGCUUGAAUUCCUGCCAACAAAAUUGCACUACACAUGCAAUUUUAGCUUUGUGCCAGUCACUGGAGUGUUUUGGCUGUGGUGAGGACACAGGUGGUGGUGGGAGCAGAAUGCGUAAGGCGGACUUUCAGGGAGAACCUGAGCUUUUUUGUUCAGGAGUUUGCUGAUGUUGCAUUCUGACUGUGACAGUUUUCCAGCAGGAGUUGGUCAGACUAACACUGCAGGAAGAGUGGCUUAUUUUGCGAAGGCUUGCCUAUGAGGUGCAGUAUGGGAAGUGGGAGAGCAGUUUAGUGCGAAUGGAUGAAAUCUGGGCAGGUUGUAGGUAGGUUUUGAGCAGGUUGUAGGUGCCCGUUAGGUGCAGCGUAGAGGGCAAAGUUGACUUGGUGUGUGUGGUGCAAUGGGAUUGGUGUGGAAAGCUGCUCAGAGGUGGGUUUUGCGAGUGACGCCAAGAUCCACGACCCAGCUGCCUACUUCAGGCCUUUUUCCUCUGCCUACCUGGGCUGAGGAGGGCCGUGCAGAGCUGCACUGUUACCGGGUCCCACAGGAGUGGACCAGUGCCGGCUCGAACCAAGGCAAAUUCCCGAAAAACCGUAACGAAGGGGGAGAAGAUCUGGAGCUGAAUCAGAACAUAGACCACUGUGCAAAGGGGCCACGCUUCAACAGCCAACUACCCCACACUUGGAAGACGGUGGCCCAACACUGGGUGUGUGCGUCACCGUGAGAUUGCAGGAGCAGCUGCAGGAGAAGGCCUGGAUGGAGGGAGUGGCCAAGGCAAGCGGCUCUCAGAGAAGAAAGAAGAGGAAGUCCAUAGUGAGCUUGAAAAGCCAAAGAGGAAGAUUUGAAGGCUGAACGGGGGGGGCCUCAAGAGGGGGCAAGAAGAGAGGAAGGAGAGCGGAAGAGCGGAAGACUGAAGCGGAGGGAAGAGCAAGGCACUCUGGGCACAGGGACCUCCCUGUAAGCAGGGCUCAGGUCCGCUGAGAGCAUCGCUGGCACUGUUGGUGCCCUUUGUUACUUUGCGCUGGGCGCCCUGCCUGCAGCCAGGGCUCGGGUCUUUGAUGUUUCUUGGUGGCCUUUUUGCCACGUGGCUCCUUCAGCUGCCUGGGGAGAGUGACGACCCUGUAAGGAGGGUGAGAGGCGCUCUCCCCUCACCCGCGGGGGAACUUGAGCUCUCUGGACCCCCUUCCCACCCUGUAAGCAGGGGUGGGCCCCUCGCCCCGCGGCUUUCCGCCUGCUGACAACCUGGCCAGCGUGACGGCCCCGUAAGCGGGGUGUCUGUCACAGCAUCUGCCUUUGGGCAAGCUCUGAGGCGCCUGGUGAUGGUGAGGGCUCUGGCCUCCGUGCGAGCUGGGGGCAAGUCGGAGCCUCUCUCGUGCUCGUGGGUGAGCGUCUGGGGGCGUUGAUCUCGGCUGCCCUGGGUCCUCUUGCCCUCCUGGAAAGUCAUGUUUGCGUGCGUGUGCGCGUGUUGGUGUGCGUGCCUGGGGGUGAGUGAGUGAGCGAGCUUGCGCUUAGGCUCCAUGUGCUAAUACUGCAGCGUACCUAACCUACACUUCCCAGGAGAGCAAGCGGAAGUCUGGGUGCAGCAGGAGCUCGAUGCUGCCUGGUGCCCUGCGUCGCGGGAGAGCCCAGGCCUGGCCCUGGCUGCCGGAGGGCAGAGUUAAGCCACUCACAAAGGCGGUGGGCGGUGCGACCUGCCCGUAGUGAGGGCCUAGGUCUCUGCCGGCAUGGCGCUCUGUCCUGCUGGCAGGCUGGCCAGCGUGACAAGCCUGUGAGCAGGGCGAGCGUCACGAGCUGUGGAGCCCCGUGUCACCCGGAGCAGCUUGCCCUCCCCGUAAGUGGGGGCCGGGGUGCCGGCACAGGAGUGCGGCCUGCUGCUGUAGCCAGCAACGAGGAAUGACCCCUCCCUGCCCCUUUAGAAGAGGGCAGGUUGAGGAAGCGCUCUGCAAGAGGGGCCGGCGCAGGACAGCCUGCCGCCUGUUCUCCUGGUGGGACCUGCCCGCGGCCGGGGCUGAGGCGGGUGCCUGGGCUCCCGAAGACGAGGCGUUGUGCGUCAGCCAGCACGGCCAGCCCGUAAGCGGGGCGUGGCUGAGAGCCCGCCGCUUUGGAGGGCUUGGCGCUAGUGCGGAGCGGUGAGGGUGAGCGCCCUGUAAGGAGGGCUCCGCUGCCGGGCUGUGGAGAGUCAUUCCUGUUGCUGUGGGGGACGGCCGAGCUCUUGGACUCCCCGGGUGUCGACCCGCCUGUAGUCAGGGCCGGGGUCGCGGGGCCUUUGUGCCCAGCUGGCAGCUUGCUCGGGGUGACCGGCCUGUGAGUGGGGCCUAGGUCCGAGUGGCCCCGACGCUGAGAAGAGGAGCCUCCCGCGGGCCCAGGGCUGCCCUGUGACUCGGGGACUGGCUGGGGUGCCGAGGGCUGUGCUGUCCAGCCGGUGGCGCGAGCCGCCUGUAGGCAGGGGUGAAGUCUCUUUGGCCACCGCUGGUCAUGGCCAGCUACGGGUGCCCAGAGUGCCAGCCUCCCAGCCACGCUUCAGCACCGCCCUCGGGCAUCCCGCAGCCCCAGCUGCGGUGCAGGCGGCCGGACACCUGCUGUCCCGAAGACGGGCCAGUCGAGUCGGCAGCAGUUGCUGGUUCACAACACCAGGAAUUGUACCCCCAGGCCUCAAGUCUCCUGCUCAACCCUGCAGUGGCAGGCACCAGGUGCCGCACCUGCUCCAGAUGCGGAAGCAAGUGGGGAAGAAGAUCCUGCCCUGCAAUACGGAUAGCUCUGAUUACUCUCAGCUCCAGAGUCUCGAAGAACAGCUCCCUUCUGGGUCUUUAGAAAGCUUCUGCCUGCACACUUCUGGCAGGGAGAACAGAGAUUUCCCCGUGGCAUACACUUUGCAAAUUUCAAACCCACCUCUGCUUGAAUUCCUGCCAACAAAAUUGCACUACACAUGCAAUUUUAGCUUUGUGCCAGUCACUGGAGUGUUUUGGCUGUGGUGAGGACACAGGUGGUGGUGGGAGCAGAAUGCGUAAGGCGGACUUUCAGGGAGAACCUGAGCUUUUUUGUUCAGGAGUUUGCUGAUGUUGCAUUCUGACUGUGACAGUUUUCCAGCAGGAGUUGGUCAGACUAACACUGCAGGAAGAGUGGCUUAUUUUGCGAAGGCUUGCCUAUGAGGUGCAGUAUGGGAAGUGGGAGAGCAGUUUAGUGCGAAUGGAUGAAAUCUGGGCAGGUUGUAGGUAGGUUUUGAGCAGGUUGUAGGUGCCCGUUAGGUGCAGCGUAGAGGGCAAAGUUGACUUGGUGUGUGUGGUGCAAUGGGAUUGGUGUGGAAAGCUGCUCAGAGGUGGGUUUUGCGAGUGACGCCAAGAUCCACGACCCAGCUGCCUACUUCAGGCCUUUUUCCUCUGCCUACCUGGGCUGAGGAGGGCCGUGCAGAGCUGCACUGUUACCGGGUCCCACAGGAGUGGACCAGUGCCGGCUCGAACCAAGGCAAAUUCCCGAAAAACCGUAACGAAGGGGGAGAAGAUCUGGAGCUGAGUCAGAACAUAGACCACUGUGCAAAGGGGCCACGCUUCAACAGCCAACUACCCCACACUUGGAAGACGGUGGCCCAACACUGGGUGUGUGCGUCACCGUGAGAUUGCAGGAGCAGCUGCAGGAGAAGGCCUGGAUGGAGGGAGUGGCCAAGGCAAGCGGCUCUCAGAGAAGAAAGAAGAGGAAGUCCAUAGUGAGCUUGAAAAGCCAAAGAGGAAGAUUUGAAGGCUGAACGGGGGGGGCCUCAAGAGGGGGCAAGAAGAGAGGAAGGAGAGCGGAAGAGCGGAAGACUGAAGCGGAGGGAAGAGCAAGGCACUCUGGGCACAGGGACCUCCCUGUAAGCAGGGCUCAGGUCCGCUGAGAGCAUCGCUGGCACUGUUGGUGCCCUUUGUUACUUUGCGCUGGGCGCCCUGCCUGCAGCCAGGGCUCGGGUCUUUGAUGUUUCUUGGUGGCCUUUUUGCCACGUGGCUCCUUCAGCUGCCUGGGGAGAGUGACGACCCUGUAAGGAGGGUGAGAGGCGCUCUCCCCUCACCCGCGGGGGAACUUGAGCUCUCUGGACCCCCUUCCCACCCUGUAAGCAGGGGUGGGCCCCUCGCCCCGCGGCUUUCCGCCUGCUGACAACCUGGCCAGCGUGACGGCCCCGUAAGCGGGGUGUCUGUCACAGCAUCUGCCUUUGGGCAAGCUCUGAGGCGCCUGGUGAUGGUGAGGGCUCUGGCCUCCGUGCGAGCUGGGGGCAAGUCGGAGCCUCUCUCGUGCUCGUGGGUGAGCGUCUGGGGGCGUUGAUCUCGGCUGCCCUGGGUCCUCUUGCCCUCCUGGAAAGUCAUGUUUGCGUGCGUGUGCGCGUGUUGGUGUGCGUGCCUGGGGGUGAGUGAGUGAGCGAGCUUGCGCUUAGGCUCCAUGUGCUAAUACUGCAGCGUACCUAACCUACACUUCCCAGGAGAGCAAGCGGAAGUCUGGGUGCAGCAGGAGCUCGAUGCUGCCUGGUGCCCUGCGUCGCGGGAGAGCCCAGGCCUGGCCCUGGCUGCCGGAGGGCAGAGUUAAGCCACUCACAAAGGCGGUGGGCGGUGCGACCUGCCCGUAGUGAGGGCCUAGGUCUCUGCCGGCAUGGCGCUCUGUCCUGCUGGCAGGCUGGCCAGCGUGACAAGCCUGUGAGCAGGGCGAGCGUCACGAGCUGUGGAGCCCCGUGUCACCCGGAGCAGCUUGCCCUCCCCGUAAGUGGGGGCCGGGGUGCCGGCACAGGAGUGCGGCCUGCUGCUGUAGCCAGCAACGAGGAAUGACCCCUCCCUGCCCCUUUAGAAGAGGGCAGGUUGAGGAAGCGCUCUGCAAGAGGGGCCGGCGCAGGACAGCCUGCCGCCUGUUCUCCUGGUGGGACCUGCCCGCGGCCGGGGCUGAGGCGGGUGCCUGGGCUCCCGAAGACGAGGCGUUGUGCGUCAGCCAGCACGGCCAGCCCGUAAGCGGGGCGUGGCUGAGAGCCCGCCGCUUUGGAGGGCUUGGCGCUAGUGCGGAGCGGUGAGGGUGAGCGCCCUGUAAGGAGGGCUCCGCUGCCGGGCUGUGGAGAGUCAUUCCUGUUGCUGUGGGGGACGGCCGAGCUCUUGGACUCCCCGGGUGUCGACCCGCCUGUAGUCAGGGCCGGGGUCGCGGGGCCUUUGUGCCCAGCUGGCAGCUUGCUCGGGGUGACCGGCCUGUGAGUGGGGCCUAGGUCCGAGUGGCCCCGACGCUGAGAAGAGGAGCCUCCCGCGGGCCCAGGGCUGCCCUGUGACUCGGGGACUGGCUGGGGUGCCGAGGGCUGUGCUGUCCAGCCGGUGGCGCGAGCCGCCUGUAGGCAGGGGUGAAGUCUCUUUGGCCACCGCUGGUCAUGGCCAGCUACGGGUGCCCAGAGUGCCAGCCUCCCAGCCACGCUUCAGCACCGCCCUCGGGCAUCCCGCAGCCCCAGCUGCGGUGCAGGCGGCCGGACACCUGCUGUCCCGAAGACGGGCCAGUCGAGUCGGCAGCAGUUGCUGGUUCACAACACCAGGAAUUGUACCCCCAGGCCUCAAGUCUCCUGCUCAACCCUGCAGUGGCAGGCACCAGGUGCCGCACCUGCUCCAGAUGCGGAAGCAAGUGGGGAAGAAGAUCCUGCCCUGCAAUACGGAUAGCUCUGAUUACUCUCAGCUCCAGAGUCUCGAAGAACAGCUCCCUUCUGGGUCUUUAGAAAGCUUCUGCCUGCACACUUCUGGCAGGGAGAACAGAGAUUUCCCCGUGGCAUACACUUUGCAAAUUUCAAACCCACCUCUGCUUGAAUUCCUGCCAACAAAAUUGCACUACACAUGCAAUUUUAGCUUUGUGCCAGUCACUGGAGUGUUUUGGCUGUGGUGAGGACACAGGUGGUGGUGGGAGCAGAAUGCGUAAGGCGGACUUUCAGGGAGAACCUGAGCUUUUUUGUUCAGGAGUUUGCUGAUGUUGCAUUCUGACUGUGACAGUUUUCCAGCAGGAGUUGGUCAGACUAACACUGCAGGAAGAGUGGCUUAUUUUGCGAAGGCUUGCCUAUGAGGUGCAGUAUGGGAAGUGGGAGAGCAGUUUAGUGCGAAUGGAUGAAAUCUGGGCAGGUUGUAGGUAGGUUUUGAGCAGGUUGUAGGUGCCCGUUAGGUGCAGCGUAGAGGGCAAAGUUGACUUGGUGUGUGUGGUGCAAUGGGAUUGGUGUGGAAAGCUGCUCAGAGGUGGGUUUUGCGAGUGACGCCAAGAUCCACGACCCAGCUGCCUACUUCAGGCCUUUUUCCUCUGCCUACCUGGGCUGAGGAGGGCCGUGCAGAGCUGCACUGUUACCGGGUCCCACAGGAGUGGACCAGUGCCGGCUCGAACCAAGGCAAAUUCCCGAAAAACCGUAACGAAGGGGGAGAAGAUCUGGAGCUGAGUCAGAACAUAGACCACUGUGCAAAGGGGCCACGCUUCAACAGCCAACUACCCCACACUUGGAAGACGGUGGCCCAACACUGGGUGUGUGCGUCACCGUGAGAUUGCAGGAGCAGCUGCAGGAGAAGGCCUGGAUGGAGGGAGUGGCCAAGGCAAGCGGCUCUCAGAGAAGAAAGAAGAGGAAGUCCAUAGUGAGCUUGAAAAGCCAAAGAGGAAGAUUUGAAGGCUGAACGGGGGGGGCCUCAAGAGGGGGCAAGAAGAGAGGAAGGAGAGCGGAAGAGCGGAAGACUGAAGCGGAGGGAAGAGCAAGGCACUCUGGGCACAGGGACCUCCCUGUAAGCAGGGCUCAGGUCCGCUGAGAGCAUCGCUGGCACUGUUGGUGCCCUUUGUUACUUUGCGCUGGGCGCCCUGCCUGCAGCCAGGGCUCGGGUCUUUGAUGUUUCUUGGUGGCCUUUUUGCCACGUGGCUCCUUCAGCUGCCUGGGGAGAGUGACGACCCUGUAAGGAGGGUGAGAGGCGCUCUCCCCUCACCCGCGGGGGAACUUGAGCUCUCUGGACCCCCUUCCCACCCUGUAAGCAGGGGUGGGCCCCUCGCCCCGCGGCUUUCCGCCUGCUGACAACCUGGCCAGCGUGACGGCCCCGUAAGCGGGGUGUCUGUCACAGCAUCUGCCUUUGGGCAAGCUCUGAGGCGCCUGGUGAUGGUGAGGGCUCUGGCCUCCGUGCGAGCUGGGGGCAAGUCGGAGCCUCUCUCGUGCUCGUGGGUGAGCGUCUGGGGGCGUUGAUCUCGGCUGCCCUGGGUCCUCUUGCCCUCCUGGAAAGUCAUGUUUGCGUGCGUGUGCGCGUGUUGGUGUGCGUGCCUGGGGGUGAGUGAGUGAGCGAGCUUGCGCUUAGGCUCCAUGUGCUAAUACUGCAGCGUACCUAACCUACACUUCCCAGGAGAGCAAGCGGAAGUCUGGGUGCAGCAGGAGCUCGAUGCUGCCUGGUGCCCUGCGUCGCGGGAGAGCCCAGGCCUGGCCCUGGCUGCCGGAGGGCAGAGUUAAGCCACUCACAAAGGCGGUGGGCGGUGCGACCUGCCCGUAGUGAGGGCCUAGGUCUCUGCCGGCAUGGCGCUCUGUCCUGCUGGCAGGCUGGCCAGCGUGACAAGCCUGUGAGCAGGGCGAGCGUCACGAGCUGUGGAGCCCCGUGUCACCCGGAGCAGCUUGCCCUCCCCGUAAGUGGGGGCCGGGGUGCCGGCACAGGAGUGCGGCCUGCUGCUGUAGCCAGCAACGAGGAAUGACCCCUCCCUGCCCCUUUAGAAGAGGGCAGGUUGAGGAAGCGCUCUGCAAGAGGGGCCGGCGCAGGACAGCCUGCCGCCUGUUCUCCUGGUGGGACCUGCCCGCGGCCGGGGCUGAGGCGGGUGCCUGGGCUCCCGAAGACGAGGCGUUGUGCGUCAGCCAGCACGGCCAGCCCGUAAGCGGGGCGUGGCUGAGAGCCCGCCGCUUUGGAGGGCUUGGCGCUAGUGCGGAGCGGUGAGGGUGAGCGCCCUGUAAGGAGGGCUCCGCUGCCGGGCUGUGGAGAGUCAUUCCUGUUGCUGUGGGGGACGGCCGAGCUCUUGGACUCCCCGGGUGUCGACCCGCCUGUAGUCAGGGCCGGGGUCGCGGGGCCUUUGUGCCCAGCUGGCAGCUUGCUCGGGGUGACCGGCCUGUGAGUGGGGCCUAGGUCCGAGUGGCCCCGACGCUGAGAAGAGGAGCCUCCCGCGGGCCCAGGGCUGCCCUGUGACUCGGGGACUGGCUGGGGUGCCGAGGGCUGUGCUGUCCAGCCGGUGGCGCGAGCCGCCUGUAGGCAGGGGUGAAGUCUCUUUGGCCACCGCUGGUCAUGGCCAGCUACGGGUGCCCAGAGUGCCAGCCUCCCAGCCACGCUUCAGCACCGCCCUCGGGCAUCCCGCAGCCCCAGCUGCGGUGCAGGCGGCCGGACACCUGCUGUCCCGAAGACGGGCCAGUCGAGUCGGCAGCAGUUGCUGGUUCACAACACCAGGAAUUGUACCCCCAGGCCUCAAGUCUCCUGCUCAACCCUGCAGUGGCAGGCACCAGGUGCCGCACCUGCUCCAGAUGCGGAAGCAAGUGGGGAAGAAGAUCCUGCCCUGCAAUACGGAUAGCUCUGAUUACUCUCAGCUCCAGAGUCUCGAAGAACAGCUCCCUUCUGGGUCUUUAGAAAGCUUCUGCCUGCACACUUCUGGCAGGGAGAACAGAGAUUUCCCCGUGGCAUACACUUUGCAAAUUUCAAACCCACCUCUGCUUGAAUUCCUGCCAACAAAAUUGCACUACACAUGCAAUUUUAGCUUUGUGCCAGUCACUGGAGUGUUUUGGCUGUGGUGAGGACACAGGUGGUGGUGGGAGCAGAAUGCGUAAGGCGGACUUUCAGGGAGAACCUGAGCUUUUUUGUUCAGGAGUUUGCUGAUGUUGCAUUCUGACUGUGACAGUUUUCCAGCAGGAGUUGGUCAGACUAACACUGCAGGAAGAGUGGCUUAUUUUGCGAAGGCUUGCCUAUGAGGUGCAGUAUGGGAAGUGGGAGAGCAGUUUAGUGCGAAUGGAUGAAAUCUGGGCAGGUUGUAGGUAGGUUUUGAGCAGGUUGUAGGUGCCCGUUAGGUGCAGCGUAGAGGGCAAAGUUGACUUGGUGUGUGUGGUGCAAUGGGAUUGGUGUGGAAAGCUGCUCAGAGGUGGGUUUUGCGAGUGACGCCAAGAUCCACGACCCAGCUGCCUACUUCAGGCCUUUUUCCUCUGCCUACCUGGGCUGAGGAGGGCCGUGCAGAGCUGCACUGUUACCGGGUCCCACAGGAGUGGACCAGUGCCGGCUCGAACCAAGGCAAAUUCCCGAAAAACCGUAACGAAGGGGGAGAAGAUCUGGAGCUGAAUCAGAACAUAGACCACUGUGCAAAGGGGCCACGCUUCAACAGCCAACUACCCCACACUUGGAAGACGGUGGCCCAACACUGGGUGUGUGCGUCACCGUGAGAUUGCAGGAGCAGCUGCAGGAGAAGGCCUGGAUGGAGGGAGUGGCCAAGGCAAGCGGCUCUCAGAGAAGAAAGAAGAGGAAGUCCAUAGUGAGCUUGAAAAGCCAAAGAGGAAGAUUUGAAGGCUGAACGGGGGGGGCCUCAAGAGGGGGCAAGAAGAGAGGAAGGAGAGCGGAAGAGCGGAAGACUGAAGCGGAGGGAAGAGCAAGGCACUCUGGGCACAGGGACCUCCCUGUAAGCAGGGCUCAGGUCCGCUGAGAGCAUCGCUGGCACUGUUGGUGCCCUUUGUUACUUUGCGCUGGGCGCCCUGCCUGCAGCCAGGGCUCGGGUCUUUGAUGUUUCUUGGUGGCCUUUUUGCCACGUGGCUCCUUCAGCUGCCUGGGGAGAGUGACGACCCUGUAAGGAGGGUGAGAGGCGCUCUCCCCUCACCCGCGGGGGAACUUGAGCUCUCUGGACCCCCUUCCCACCCUGUAAGCAGGGGUGGGCCCCUCGCCCCGCGGCUUUCCGCCUGCUGACAACCUGGCCAGCGUGACGGCCCCGUAAGCGGGGUGUCUGUCACAGCAUCUGCCUUUGGGCAAGCUCUGAGGCGCCUGGUGAUGGUGAGGGCUCUGGCCUCCGUGCGAGCUGGGGGCAAGUCGGAGCCUCUCUCGUGCUCGUGGGUGAGCGUCUGGGGGCGUUGAUCUCGGCUGCCCUGGGUCCUCUUGCCCUCCUGGAAAGUCAUGUUUGCGUGCGUGUGCGCGUGUUGGUGUGCGUGCCUGGGGGUGAGUGAGUGAGCGAGCUUGCGCUUAGGCUCCAUGUGCUAAUACUGCAGCGUACCUAACCUACACUUCCCAGGAGAGCAAGCGGAAGUCUGGGUGCAGCAGGAGCUCGAUGCUGCCUGGUGCCCUGCGUCGCGGGAGAGCCCAGGCCUGGCCCUGGCUGCCGGAGGGCAGAGUUAAGCCACUCACAAAGGCGGUGGGCGGUGCGACCUGCCCGUAGUGAGGGCCUAGGUCUCUGCCGGCAUGGCGCUCUGUCCUGCUGGCAGGCUGGCCAGCGUGACAAGCCUGUGAGCAGGGCGAGCGUCACGAGCUGUGGAGCCCCGUGUCACCCGGAGCAGCUUGCCCUCCCCGUAAGUGGGGGCCGGGGUGCCGGCACAGGAGUGCGGCCUGCUGCUGUAGCCAGCAACGAGGAAUGACCCCUCCCUGCCCCUUUAGAAGAGGGCAGGUUGAGGAAGCGCUCUGCAAGAGGGGCCGGCGCAGGACAGCCUGCCGCCUGUUCUCCUGGUGGGACCUGCCCGCGGCCGGGGCUGAGGCGGGUGCCUGGGCUCCCGAAGACGAGGCGUUGUGCGUCAGCCAGCACGGCCAGCCCGUAAGCGGGGCGUGGCUGAGAGCCCGCCGCUUUGGAGGGCUUGGCGCUAGUGCGGAGCGGUGAGGGUGAGCGCCCUGUAAGGAGGGCUCCGCUGCCGGGCUGUGGAGAGUCAUUCCUGUUGCUGUGGGGGACGGCCGAGCUCUUGGACUCCCCGGGUGUCGACCCGCCUGUAGUCAGGGCCGGGGUCGCGGGGCCUUUGUGCCCAGCUGGCAGCUUGCUCGGGGUGACCGGCCUGUGAGUGGGGCCUAGGUCCGAGUGGCCCCGACGCUGAGAAGAGGAGCCUCCCGCGGGCCCAGGGCUGCCCUGUGACUCGGGGACUGGCUGGGGUGCCGAGGGCUGUGCUGUCCAGCCGGUGGCGCGAGCCGCCUGUAGGCAGGGGUGAAGUCUCUUUGGCCACCGCUGGUCAUGGCCAGCUACGGGUGCCCAGAGUGCCAGCCUCCCAGCCACGCUUCAGCACCGCCCUCGGGCAUCCCGCAGCCCCAGCUGCGGUGCAGGCGGCCGGACACCUGCUGUCCCGAAGACGGGCCAGUCGAGUCGGCAGCAGUUGCUGCACCUGAACAGAUGGCAAAACAACUGGACUAGAAGAUCCUUCCAACCAAUGCAGCGACUAUGGAGUACUUUCAGCUUCACGGUACUGAAGAGCAUUUCCUUUUGUGUCUUUACACAACUUCUGCAGGUACGUCUCCCAGUGAGAACACUGGUUAUUUAAUAAAUGCCAUGUAAAACUAUCGGUUGUACACUUAGCGACUUUCAAACCCAAUUCUGCUUUAAUUCACAUCAACAAAAUUGCACUGCACAAUUGCACCAAUUACUGGAGAGCUUUGCUUGUGUACAUAGUGUGUCUUUGCAAAUAGGGUAAAGUGAAGGCUCUGUGAGAAUGUGAAAGUUUCUAUGUAGAAGUUUGUUUAUGGUGUAGGUAUUACUGGGCAUGAUUUCAUGCAGGAUUUUGAUGGUGAAGUGUUAUUGAGGGUGAUUUCGUGUAGGAGUUUGGUGAUGGUGAAGUAUUGUCGUGGAUGAUUUCGUGUAGGAGUUUGGUGAUGGUGGAGUGUUGUGGAUGAUUUUGUGUAGGAGUUUGAUGGUAGUUUAUUUUGUGAUGGCUUGUCCUUAAAGUACAAUGUGGAAAGUAGGUCUCUAGUGUGAACAGAUGGAAACUGAACACUUUGUAGGGAACUGCUGGGUGCAGCAUAGAGGACAAAAUUGAAGUUGACUGUGUGGUGUAAUUGGACUGUUGUGGAAAGCUAAUUUGAAGUUGGGUUUUGAAAGUGAUCCAAAGACUCAAGACCUAGCUGGCUACUUCAGCCCUUUUUUCUGUCUAACUGGGCUGGGGGAGGGGGCUAUGCAUAAAUGAAGUAUUACCAGGCACCUCACUGCACUCCCAAAUUUCAGCAAAUUCAAGAAAAACUGUAAUGAUUCAAGAAUGAUAUGGUCUUGAGCAAUUAACACCUAUUAAAGCAAGCGUGAGUUCUCCUCAGUCCAGAGAAGACUGAGGUAAAAGUGCCAGUUUCUCUCUUAAAUUAAUCACAAGUCUCAUUCCAUUACAUGGUAUUGUAAGUUAUCAAAAUUAAUUACAUAUUAAAAUAACAUGGUAAGAAUUAAGUCAUUUUAAGUUCAAAAAGAUGUUAGAGCUUGUCUUAGCUAAACAAGAAGGAAAGCAAAACACCUGUAAACUUUGUAGUGAAAAUGAAAUAAAAACUGCCUUGU
Dromaius novaehollandiae (emu) is the source of this 13126-nucleotide long non-coding RNA. RefSeq lists it as uncharacterized. The record is from RefSeq and is a predicted model, not a curated record. Lineage: Eukaryota; Metazoa; Chordata; Aves; Casuariiformes; Dromaiidae. The transcript has 18 exons.